This 379-nucleotide RNase P RNA is filed under the name Apilactobacillus ozensis. Its description in RNAcentral is "RNase P RNA component class B". It matches the Rfam family "Bacterial RNase P class B". From Rfam's summary of the family: Ribonuclease P (RNase P) is a ubiquitous endoribonuclease, found in archaea, bacteria and eukarya as well as chloroplasts and mitochondria. Lineage: Bacteria; Bacillati; Bacillota; Bacilli; Lactobacillales; Lactobacillaceae. The record is from RNAcentral. RNAcentral also lists the same sequence under 1 other name.
AAUUCCGAGUAAUCGCGGCUAACUUAUGUUAGCUGAGGAAAGUCCACUCUCGCACAAACUGAGAUGUUUGUAGUGUUCGUGCUUGGCGAAAAAAUAAGCUGAGGAGCUAUCUUUGAUAGUUAUGGCGAAAAAAAGGGCUAAGGUUUUCUAUGCCUGAGUAUUUCUGAAAGUGCCACAGUGACGAUACAGUUUAGGAAACUUUACUGGUGGAACGCGGUAAACCCCUCGAGCGGGAAACCCAAACUUUGGUAGGGGAGCUUCACACACGGGAAUUGAACUAAGUGUGGGGGGGAGAUAUAAAUAUCUCUCAGAUAGAUGAUUACUACUUAAAUAUUAACGUCCUGAGUUCUUAUUUAAGCACAAAACAUGGCUUACAAGA